UGAAGAAAAAGCAUCGGCUAACUCCGUGCCAGCAGCCGCGGUAAUACGGAGGAUGCAAGCGUUAUCCGGAAUCAUUGGGCGUAAAGGGUCCGCAGGUGGCGAAUAAAGUCUGCUGUUAAAGACCGGGGCUAAACUCCGGAAAGGCAGUGGAAACUGAUUAGCUAGAGUACGGUAGGGGUAGAGGGAAUUCCCAGUGUAGCGGUGAAAUGCGUAGAUAUUGGGAAGAACACCGGUGGCGAAAGCGCUCUACUAGGCCGAAACUGACACUGAGGGACGAAAGCUAGGGUAGCGAAAGGGAUUAGAUACCCCUGUAGUCUUAGCGGUAAACGAUGGAUACUAGGUGUAGCUUGUAUCGACCCGAGCUGUGCCGAAGCUAACGCGAUAAGUAUCCCGCCUGGGGAGUACGCACGCAAGUGUGAAACUCAAAGGAAUUGACGGGGGCCCGCACAAGCGGUGGAGUAUGUGGUUUAAUUCGAUGCAACGCGAAGAACCUUACCAGGGCUUGACAUGUCGCGAAUCUAGCGGAAACGUUAGAGUGCCUUAGGGAAUGCGAACACAGGUGGUGCAUGGCUGUCGUCAGCUCGUGUCGUGAGAUGUUGGGUUAAGUCCCGCAACGAGCGCAACCCUCGUCCUUAGUUGCCAAUAUUAAGUUAGGCACUCUAGGGAGACUGCCGGGGACAACUCGGAGGAAGGUGGGGAUGACGUCAAGUCAGCAUGCCCCUUACGUCCUGGGCGACACACGUACUACAAUGGUUGGGACAAAGGGCAGCAAACUCGCGAGAGUAAGCGAAUCUCAUCAAACCCAGCCACAGUUCAGAUUGCAGGCUGCAACUCGCCUGCAUGAAGUGGGAAUCGCUAGUAAUCGCAGGUCAGCAUACUGCGGUGAAUUCGUUCCCGGGUCUUGUACACACCGCCCGUCACACCAUGGAAGCUGGCUACGCCCGAAGUCGUUACCCUAACCCGGUUUUGGGAGGGGGAUGCCGAAGGUAGAGCUAGUGACUGGGGUGAAGUCGUAACAAGGUAGCCGUACCGGAAGGUGUGGCUGGAUCACCUCCUUU
RNAcentral lists this ribosomal RNA (1058 nucleotides) under uncultured cyanobacterium. RNAcentral's name for it is "bacterial SSU rRNA". It matches the Rfam family "Bacterial small subunit ribosomal RNA", at positions 480 to 1533 of the family's 1533-position model. Lineage: Bacteria; Bacillati; Cyanobacteriota. The record is from RNAcentral.